Molecule: unclassified non-coding RNA, 374 nt
Filed under: soil metagenome
Description: partial contains 5.8S ribosomal RNA, internal transcribed spacer 2, and large subunit ribosomal RNA
Rfam family: 5.8S ribosomal RNA (bases 1-121)
Source: RNAcentral
GAUGAAGAACGCAGCGAAAUGCGAUAAGUAAUGCGAAUUGCAGAAUUCCAGUGAGUCAUCGAAUCUUUGAACGCACAUUGCGCCCUUUGGCAUUCCGAAGGGCAUGCCUGUUCGAGCGUCAUUAUCACCCCUCAAGCCCCCCUGGCUUGGUGUUGGACGGUUUUGGUGGGACGCGCAGCCUCUCACCCCUCCUAAAGACAAUGACGGCGGCGUCGUUGGAACCCCCGGUACACUGAGCUUCUUAACUGAGCACGUACUGGAUGCGGGUACGCGAUGCACGGUCUGCCUCCCCUUUAGGGAGAACUUUUUCUUAAGGUUGACCUCGGAUCAGGUAGGAAUACCCGCUGAACUUAAGCAUAUCAAUAAGCGGAGGA